RNAcentral lists this ribosomal RNA (497 nucleotides) under uncultured bacterium. RNAcentral's name for it is "partial 16S ribosomal RNA". It matches the Rfam family "Bacterial small subunit ribosomal RNA", at positions 28 to 507 of the family's 1533-position model. The record is from RNAcentral.
GAUGAACGCUGGCGGCGUGCCUAAUACAUGCAAGUCGAGCGAACAGACGAGGAGCUUGCUCCUCUGACGUUAGCGGCGGACGGGUGAGUAACACGUGGAUAACCUACCUAUAAGACUGGGAUAACUUCGGGAAACCGGAGCUAAUACCGGAUAAUAUAUUGAACCGCAUGGUUCAAUAGUGAAAGACGGUUUUGCUGUCACUUAUAGAUGGAUCCGCGCCGCAUUAGCUAGUUGGUAAGGUAACGACUUACCAAGGCAACGAUGCGUAGCCGACCUGAGAGGGUGAUCGGCCACACUGGAACUGAGACACGGUCCAGACUCCUACGGGAGGCAGCAGUAGGGAAUCUUCCGCAAUGGGCGAAAGCUUGACGGAGCAACGCCGCGUGAGUGAUGAAGGUCUUCGGAUCGUAAAACUCUGUUAUUAGGGAAGAACAAAUGUGUAAGUAACUAUGCACGUCUUGACGGUACCUAAUCAGAAAGCCACGGCCAACUACGUG